GUGCCAGCCGCCGCGUAAUUCCAGCUCCAAUAGCGUAUAUUAAAGUUGUUGCAGUUAAAAAGCUCGUAGUUGAAACUUGGGCCUGGCUGGCGGGUCCGCCUCACCGCGUGCACUCGUCCGGCCGGGCCUUCCUUCUGAAGAACCUCAUGCCCUUCACUGGGCGUGAUGAGGAAUCAGGACUUUUACUUUGAAAAAAUUAGAGUGUUCAAAGCAGGCCUUUGCUCGAAUACGUUAGCAUGGAAUAAUAAAAUAGGGCGUGCGUUUCUAUUUUGUUGGUUUCUAGAGACGCCGCAAUGAUUAACAGGAACAGUCGGGGGCAUCAGUAUUCAGUUGUCAGAGGUGAAAUUCUUGGAUUUACUGAAGACUAGCUACUGCGAAAGCUUUUGCCAAGGAUGUUUUCAUUAAUCAGUGAACGAAAGUUAGGGGAUCGAAGACGAUCAGAUACCGUCGUAGUCUUAACCGUAAACUAUGCCGACUAGGGAUCGGGCGAUGUUCUUUUUCUGACUCGCUCGGCACCUUACGAGAAAUCAAAGUUUUUGGGUUCUGGGGGGAUUAUGGUCGCAAGGCUGAAACUUAAAGAAAUUGACGGAAGGUCACCACCAGGCGUGGAGCCUGCGGCUUAAUUUGACUCAACACGGGGAAACUCACCAGGUCCAGAUGAAAUAAGGAUUGACAGAUGAGAGCUCUUUCUUGAUUUUUCAGGUGGUGGUGCAUGGCCGUUCAUAGUCGUGGGUGACUUGUCUGCUUAAUGCGAUAACGAGCGAGACCUUACUCUGCUAAAUAGCCAGGCUAGCUUUGGCUGGUCGCCGGCUUCUUAGGAGAGACU
This 826-nucleotide ribosomal RNA is filed under the name uncultured fungus. Its description in RNAcentral is "SSU rRNA". It matches the Rfam family "Eukaryotic small subunit ribosomal RNA", at positions 564 to 1421 of the family's 1831-position model. Lineage: Eukaryota; Fungi. The record is from RNAcentral.